RNAcentral lists this ribosomal RNA (448 nucleotides) under uncultured bacterium. RNAcentral describes it as "bacterial SSU rRNA". It matches the Rfam family "Bacterial small subunit ribosomal RNA", at positions 64 to 507 of the family's 1533-position model. The record is from RNAcentral.
GAGCGGUAGAGAGAAGCUUGCUUCUCUUGAGAGCGGCGGACGGGUGAGUAAUGCCUAGGAAUCUGCCUGGUAGUGGGGGACAACGUUUCGAAAGGAACGCUAAUACCGCAUACGUCCUACGGGAGAAAGCAGGGGACCUUCGGGCCUUGCGCUAUCAGAUGAGCCUAGGUCGGAUUAGCUAGUUGGUGAGGUAAUGGCUCACCAAGGCGACGAUCCGUAACUGGUCUGAGAGGAUGAUCAGUCACACUGGAACUGAGACACGGUCCAGACUCCUACGGGAGGCAGCAGUGGGGAAUAUUGGACAAUGGGCGAAAGCCUGAUCCAGCCAUGCCGCGUGUGUGAAGAAGGUCUUCGGACUGUAAAGCACUUUAAGUUGGGAGGAAGGGCAGUUACCUAAUACGUGAUUGUUUUGACGUUACCGACAGAAUAAGCACCGGCUAACUCUGUG